GAUGAACGCUAGCGGCAGGCUUAAUACAUGCAAGUUGAGGGGCAGCAUGAUAUACGCGAGUAUAUUGAUGGCGACCGGCGGACGGGUGAGUAAUAGGUAGGAGACCUACCUCAUACAGGGGGAUAGCAUAGAGAAAUCUGUGGUAAUACCCCAUGAGGUUAUAUGAAUAGAGGCAUAUAAUCAAAGCAUAAGCGAUUAUGCGGUAUGAGAGGGGCCUACUGACCAUUAGCUAGUUGGUGAGGUAAGGGCUCACCAAGGCGAAGAUGGUUAGGGGUUUUGAGAGAGAGACCCCCCACAUUGGAACUGAGAGACGGUCCAGACUCCUACGGGAGGCAGCAGUAGGGAAUAUUGGGCAAUGGGCGAAAGCCUGACCCAGCCAUGCCGCGUGAAGGAAGACGGGCCUUAUGGGGUUGUAAACUUUCUUUACUACGCGAAUAGAGGUUAGUACGAGAUACUAAUAGGAAGGUAGUGUAGUAAAAGCACCGGCUAACUCCGUG
RNAcentral lists this ribosomal RNA (497 nucleotides) under uncultured bacterium. RNAcentral's name for it is "bacterial SSU rRNA". It matches the Rfam family "Bacterial small subunit ribosomal RNA", at positions 28 to 507 of the family's 1533-position model. The record is from RNAcentral.